UAUAAUGGUCUUGCAAUUGAUGGAAAUAAUCGUUCAUUGCUUGUUCCUUUCGCUUGUGAUUGUCAUCGACCAGGAGUUUAUCUUGGUGAGAGUGGAUAGAAUAUUGUUGCUGCUCGCGUUUCUCUUCUUCGUCCAACAAGAUUAGUGAGGUAAGUAUAUCACUCCACGCGGCACUCUUGUUUAAUACGUCGUCGCUUCGUCGCCGCUUCUUCAAAUUGUUGUUAUUAUUAUUAUUAUUGUUGCUGCUGCUGUUGUUGUUGUUGUUGUUGAUGAAGGUGCUUCUACUCUCCAUUUCAGGGAGUAAAUCUAAUAAAUGGGAGUAGUCUUCUUCUUGAUUAAGAAAUGGGAAACGAGUUAUUUCCAUUAAGCAACAAAACAGUGUGUGUGUGUUUGAAUUUGUUAGGUUGACAAGUGUUUGAAGAAAUGCUUCAACGGAAAAAUGUGAACACAAUCGAUUUCAAAUUGAACAAGAAAUGAUAAGAUGGGAGCUUUUAUAUAAGAAGAGGUGAAGCGAUG
RNAcentral lists this long non-coding RNA (516 nucleotides) under Citrus maxima (pomelo). RNAcentral describes it as "long non-coding RNA (CMAX_LNC004081)". Lineage: Eukaryota; Viridiplantae; Streptophyta; Magnoliopsida; Sapindales; Rutaceae. The record is from RNAcentral.